This 1008-nucleotide long non-coding RNA is filed under the name Monodelphis domestica (gray short-tailed opossum). RNAcentral describes it as "lncRNA (ENSMODG00000033714.2)". The record is from RNAcentral. Lineage: Eukaryota; Metazoa; Chordata; Mammalia; Didelphimorphia; Didelphidae.
CUCUCCCCUGCUCCCCUUCCAUCUAAAACACCUGUGACUGGGUGGUAGAUUAUUCCAGCCCAGGUCAGAAGAGAUAAGGGGAGCAACUGAGUUGUUUAUUGUCCUUUGUAUCUUCCAGGAGUCCUCAACCAACAAAAGAUAAGGAAACCGAGGCUCAGAAAGAUGACAUCCCUUGUCUACAAGCGACACUAGAAUCAUUCCAAAAAAGUUUCCCCAAACUAAACAACUUCUCAAGAAUCUGAUGGUGUAUGCAUCCACAGCAGUGUUCUCCACUUAUGAAAUGGAGUAGGGAGAAGUAAAUGCUUACAUUUUUUCCUCUGGGUCUCAGUCUGAUCACGACAAUAUCAGAGCUUCUGGUUAUGUUAGUUUUGUUGCUAUUCCUCUCAGAUUUGAAUCCAGGACCUCCUGAUGCCAGAUCUGGCUCUCCAUCCACUGAACCACCCAGCUGCCCCCAAGGCUUCACUUUGAUGGUCCUAUAUAUGGCAGAGACCCUGCUCUGGAUCCUGCUUCCAUGGCCUUAGGAGACUUGCUUGAGCUCUUCGGGGAAGGUAAGAGUGGGAAGAGAUUGACAAAGGACGGUGGCCUAAAGCUUUUUCACUUCACAAGGCUGUGGGAUUGACCAUUUCCCCCUUCAUAAGGAUGCAGUGCUAAGCCAAGUGACCAAACAGGCAAGCUGGCCUAGGGACAAUUGCUAAGGUCUUAGCUUUUACAAUGGCCCUUAGAUAAUGUCUAAAAACCAGAGCAAUUUAUAACUUCGCUUGAAAAACAUGUUCCAUUAACUUGAAAAGAAAAAAAAAAAGGAGAACUUGAGUUGUCAGAGCUGAGAACAGAAGGUCUUACCUGAUGGAGGCUGGAGUCUAUCAAUAGCACUAAGCACUAGGAAAUGUUUGGGCCCAAUUUGACAUUUGAGAUCAAACAGAUUAAUGCUCAUAAUUUUUUUCCACCUGGCAUAAUCCUGAGCCUGUGGAGGCCACAGUUAAUAAUGAUUUCCCUGAGCCUCUAGUGACU